AUGAACGCUGGCGGCGUGCUUAAUGCAUGCAAGUCGAACGAGAACCUCUUGAUAGGUAACUAUCGAGGGACUUCUAGUGGCGAACGGGUGAGUAACACGUGAGCAACCUGCCCCGAAGACCGGGAUAGCCCAUGGAAACGUGGAUUAAUACCGGAUACCCUCGCGGAACCGCAUGAUUCUGCGAGGAAAUGCUCCGGCGCUUCGGGAUGGGCUCGCGGCCUAUCAGCUAGUUGGUGAGGUAACGGCUCACCAAGGCACUGACGGGUAGCUGGUCUGAGAGGACGAUCAGCCACACUGGGACUGAGACACGGCCCAGACUCCUACGGGAGGCAGCAGCAGGGAAUAUUGCACAAUGGGCGCAAGCCUGAUGCAGCGACGCCGCGUGAGGGAUGAAGGCUUUCGGGUUGUAAACCUCUUUCAGUGGGGAAGAAGCGCAAGUGACGGUACCCACACAAGAAGGCCCGGCCAACUACGUG
RNAcentral lists this ribosomal RNA (476 nucleotides) under uncultured bacterium. Its description in RNAcentral is "bacterial SSU rRNA". It matches the Rfam family "Bacterial small subunit ribosomal RNA", at positions 29 to 507 of the family's 1533-position model. The record is from RNAcentral.